CCAAAUUUAAAAGGUGUCUAGUUUACUAGAUGCCUGGGUAUUGAAAUAUAUACCACAUCUACCUUGUGUGCAAUGUAAAUUGUAUUGAUAGAUUAUUCAUCUGGGUUUUUUUACUUGGGUGGGUUCUCUAUAUAAACAUUUUAAGUUUUCUAAGUCUGAAUAGUUUUUUUACAUAUUGAUAUUUUGCUUUCAGUAAAAUAUUUAAAAUUGUUAAAA
RNAcentral lists this unclassified non-coding RNA (216 nucleotides) under uncultured Chytridiomycota. Its description in RNAcentral is "sequence contains ITS1". The record is from RNAcentral. Lineage: Eukaryota; Fungi; Chytridiomycota.